Molecule: unclassified non-coding RNA, 278 nt
Filed under: uncultured fungus
Lineage: Eukaryota; Fungi
Description: partial contains 5.8S ribosomal RNA, internal transcribed spacer 2, and large subunit ribosomal RNA
Source: RNAcentral
AACGCACAUUGCGCCCCCCGGCAUCCCGGGGGGCAUGCCCGUCCGAGCGUCGCGAAGCCCCCUCGGGCCGCCCCGCACGGGGAGGCCCGGCGAUGGGCGCCUGGUCGGGGGGGGGCGACCCCCCCGACCCGCCCCGAAGGCAUCGGCGGCACGGCGCCGGCCCGCUGCGAAGCAGAGCUUGAUCGCGGCGGCGCCCGGCGGCCGCGCCCGCCGCGGACGACGGACCCGAACGACACGGCGUCGACCUCGGAUCGGGCAGGAGUACCCGCUGAACUUAA